This is a non-coding RNA of Podarcis lilfordi (Lilford's wall lizard), 82 nucleotides long. The record is from the annotation of a GenBank genome assembly. NCBI's taxonomy places the organism in Eukaryota, Metazoa, Chordata, Lepidosauria, Squamata, Lacertidae.
GGCUGUGUCUGUUCUGCAGGCACUUUGGUAGAGCAUGAGACUCUUAACUUCAGGGUCGUGGGUUCAAGCCCCAUAUUGGUCA